UGGGGAAUAUUGGACAAUGGGCGGAAGCCUGAUCCAGCCAUGCCGCGUGUGUGAAGAAGGCCUUUUGGUUGUAAAGCACUUUAAGCGAGGAGGAGGCUACUUGGAUUAAUACUCUAGGAUAGUGGACGUUACUCGCAGAAUAAGCACCGGCUAACUCUGUGCCAGCAGCCGCGGUAAUACAGAGGGUGCGAGCGUUAAUCGGAUUUACUGGGCGUAAAGCGUGCGUAGGCGGCUUUUUAAGUCGGAUGUGAAAUCCCUGAGCUUAACUUAGGAAUUGCAUUCGAUACUGGGAAGCUAGAGUAUGGGAGAGGAUGGUAGAAUUCCAGGUGUAGCGGUGAAAUGCGUAGAGAUCUGGAGGAAUACCGAUGGCGAAGGCAGCCAUCUGGCCUAAGACUGACGCUGAGGUACGAAAGCAUGGGGAGCAAACAGG
Molecule: ribosomal RNA, 430 nt
Filed under: Bacillota bacterium
Lineage: Bacteria; Bacillati; Bacillota
Description: Firmicutes bacterium partial 16S ribosomal RNA
Rfam family: Bacterial small subunit ribosomal RNA
Source: RNAcentral